GCCAAGAAUCCACGGCCUCCAGUCACUGCGGCUGGUCGCUGGCCUUGCGUGGUCUGGACACGGUGGCGUAGCUACUGCCGGGAGCCCCCUGCACGACCAGCUUCAAAGUCUCUUGUAUUUCCUUACUUCAGAGCCAAACACUGCUCUGGCAGGUUUGGGGUACCAAGACUGCCUGCUGCAUCCUCUCCAUGUCUAAACAGCCUCUGAACUGGGUCCAAAAAAAGGGGGUGCAGACGUGCGUCCCUUCUCUCCCUUCCCACCAUUUAAGAGGUACCGAGGUGCCGGACGUUGCAGUCUGGAAGCUGUCCCGGAGGAUUUGGCAGAGACAGGUCAGGGCUCGACUUCGCUGGCAGUAAAAGAGAAGCGCAAGUGUGGGAAUCAGGUUGGUUUGUUGUUUAAACAAACCAUUGUAAAAUUAUCCAGCACAGUCCUGAGUCAGUUUUGAGGUGGUUUGUGCCUGGGGAGGAGCCGCAGUCUGCCUAGGAGCCUGCCUAACGUCCCUGAUACUGGGACACGGUUUUCUGGGACCUGCCUCCUGCGCUCCCUGAUAAAGGUCUUUACCGCUCUUCGGGGUCACUUGGAGAGGCUUGCAGGGAGGACAAGAAGCCAUUCUACUGAGAGGGAGUCUUGGGCUCAAGGCACUGGUUAGGUCAGGAGGAAAUCUCUGUUUUUAGCUUCAGGUGCAUGGAGAACCCCCGGCAGCUCACAGCGACAUGCACGCAUCCUCCCAGAACAUGCUGCACUUGACUCAAUGAGGCAGGAAGACUGAGAGGCCAACUUGUCCUUGAACACGUGCCAUUCCAGCCGGUCGCCGGCCCACCCCAUCCCAAGGACCUCCCUGUGCCCCUGGGCUCUGUCAGGCGAAGGUAUCAUCAGGUUUGGUUUUUGAUGCUUCAGCCCUGCUGUGAGAUGGCAUCUCUCUUUGCAGCUGGAAAUCCAAGGCUUUAAAAUAUGAAGUCCUGGGGCGCCUGUGUGACUCAGUGGGUUAAAGCCUCUGCCUUUGUUUGGGUCAUGAUCUCAGGGUCCUGGGAUCCUCUGCUCAGCAGGGAGCCUGCUUCCUCCUCUCUCUCUGCCUGCCUCUCUGACUACUUGUGAUCUCUCUGUCUCUGUCAAGUAAAUAAAUAAAA
Molecule: long non-coding RNA, 1127 nt
Organism: Mustela lutreola (European mink)
Lineage: Eukaryota; Metazoa; Chordata; Mammalia; Carnivora; Mustelidae
Exons: 2
Source: RefSeq, a predicted model, not a curated record